CCGAGUCUGCGAUUUCCGAAUGGGGAAACCCAACUGCAUAAGCAGUUACUGUUAACUGAAUACAUAGGUUAACAGAGCAAACCGGGGGAACUGAAACAUCUAAGUACCCCGAGGAGAAGAAAUCAACCGAGAUUCCGGUAGUAGCGGCGAGCGAACCUGGAUUAGCCCUUAAGCACUCGGUGAAGUAGGUGAACAAGCUGGAAAGCUUGGCGAUACAGGGUGAUAGCCCCGUAACCGACGCUUCAUCGAGCGUGAAAUCGAGUAGGGCGGGACACGUGAUAUCCUGUCUGAAUAUGGGGGGACCAUCCUCCAAGGCUAAAUACUCCUGACUGACCGAUAGUGAACCAGUACCGUGAGGGAAAGGCGAAAAGAACCCCUGUGAGGGGAGUGAAAUAGAACCUGAAACCGUGUACGUACAAGCAGUAGGAGCACCUUCGUGGUGUGACUGCGUACCUUUUGUAUAAUGGGUCAGCGACUUAUAUUCAGUGGCAAGGUUAACCGUAUAGGGGAGCCGUAGCGAAAGCGAGUCUUAACUGGGCGCUCAGUCUCUGGAUAUAGACCCGAAACCGGGUGAUCUAGCCAUGGGCAGGUUGAAGGUUGAGUAACAUCAACUGGAGGACCGAACCGACUAAUGUUGAAAAAUUAGCGGAUGACUUGUGGCUAGGGGUGAAAGGCCAAUCAAACUCGGAGAUAGCUGGUUCUCCCCGAAAGCUAUUUAGGUAGCGCCUCGGACGAAUACUACUGGGGGUAGAGCACUGUUAAGGCUAGGGGGUCAUCCCGACUUACCAACCCUUUGCAAACUCCGAAUACCAGUAAGUACUAUCCGGGAGACACACGGCGGGUGCUAACGUCCGUCGUGGAGAGGGAAACAACCCAGACCGCCAGCUAAGGUCCCAAAGUAUUGCUAAGUGGGAAACGAUGUGGGAAGGCUCAGACAGCUAGGAUGUUGGCUUAGAAGCAGCCAUCAUUUAAAGAAAGCGUAAUAGCUCACUAGUCGAGUCGGCCUGCGCGGAAGAUGUAACGGGGCUAAGCAAUACACCGAAGCUGCGGCAAUGUCUUUUAGAUAUUGGGUAGGGGAGCGUUCUGUAAGCCGUUGAAGGUGAAUCGUAAGGUUUGCUGGAGGUAUCAGAAGUGCGAAUGCUGACAUGAGUAACGACAAAGGGGGUGAAAAACCUCCUCGCCGGAAGACCAAGGGUUCCUGUCCAACGUUAAUCGGGGCAGGGUGAGUCGACCCCUAAGGUGAGGCCGAAAGGCGUAAUCGAUGGGAAACGGGUUAAUAUUCCCGUACUUCUGACUAUUGCGAUGGGGGGACGGAGAAGGCUAGGUGGGCCAGGCGACGGUUGUCCUGGUUCAAGUGCGUAGGCUUGAGAGUUAGGUAAAUCCGGCUCUCUUUAAGGCUGAGACACGACGUCGAGCUGCUACGGCAGUGAAGUCAUUGAUGCCAUGCUUCCAGGAAAAGCCUCUAAGCUUCAGAUAGUCAGGAAUCGUACCCCAAACCGACACAGGUGGUCGGGUAGAGAAUACCAAGGCGCUUGAGAGAACUCGGGUGAAGGAACUAGGCAAAAUGGUACCGUAACUUCGGGAGAAGGUACGCUCUUAAUGGUGAAGUCCCUCGCGGAUGGAGCUGACGAGAGUCGCAGAUACCAGGUGGCUGCAACUGUUUAUUAAAAACACAGCACUGUGCAAAAUCGCAAGAUGACGUAUACGGUGUGACGCCUGCCCGGUGCCGGAAGGUUAAUUGAUGGGGUUAGCGCAAGCGAAGCUCUUGAUCGAAGCCCCGGUAAACGGCGGCCGUAACUAUAACGGUCCUAAGGUAGCGAAAUUCCUUGUCGGGUAAGUUCCGACCUGCACGAAUGGCGUAAUGAUGGCCACGCUGUCUCCACCCGAGACUCAGUGAAAUUGAAAUCGCUGUGAAGAUGCAGUGUACCCGCGGCUAGACGGAAAGACCCCGUGAACCUUUACUACAGCUUGGCACUGAACAUUGAACCUACAUGUGUAGGAUAGGUGGGAGGCUAUGAAGACGUGACGCCAGUUGCGUUGGAGCCGUCCUUGAAAUACCACCCUUGUAUGUUUGAUGUUCUAACUUAGACCCGUUAUCCGGGUUGAGGACAGUGCCUGGUGGGUAGUUUGACUGGGGCGGUCUCCUCCCAAAGAGUAACGGAGGAGCACGAAGGUGGGCUAAUCACGGUUGGACAUCGUGAGGUUAGUGCAAUGGCAUAAGCCCGCUUAACUGCGAGAAUGACGGUUCGAGCAGGUGCGAAAGCAGGUCAUAGUGAUCCGGUGGUUCUGUAUGGAAGGGCCAUCGCUCAACGGAUAAAAGGUACUCCGGGGAUAACAGGCUGAUACCGCCCAAGAGUUCAUAUCGACGGCGGUGUUUGGCACCUCGAUGUCGGCUCAUCACAUCCUGGGGCUGAAGUCGGUCCCAAGGGUAUGGCUGUUCGCCAUUUAAAGUGGUACGCGAGCUGGGUUUAGAACGUCGUGAGACAGUUCGGUCCCUAUCUGCCGUGGGCGUUGGAAGAUUGAAGGGGGCUGCUCCUAGUACGAGAGGACCGGAGUGGACGAACCUCUGGUGUUCGGGUUGUGUCGCCAGACGCAUUGCCCGGUAGCUAAGUUCGGAAUUGAUAAGCGCUGAAAGCAUCUAAGCGCGAAGCGAGCCCUGAGAUGAGUCUUCCC
RNAcentral lists this ribosomal RNA (2673 nucleotides) under Vibrio cholerae. Its description in RNAcentral is "partial 23S ribosomal RNA". It matches the Rfam family "Bacterial large subunit ribosomal RNA". Lineage: Bacteria; Pseudomonadati; Pseudomonadota; Gammaproteobacteria; Vibrionales; Vibrionaceae. The record is from RNAcentral.